GGGUUGUGAGGUUAAGCGACUAAGCGUACACGGUGGAUGCCCUGGCAGUCAGAGGCGAUGAAGGACGUGCUAAUCUGCGAAAAGCGUCGGUAAGGUGAUAUGAACCGUUAUAACCGGCGAUGUCCGAAUGGGGAAACCCAGUGCAAUUCGUUGCACUAUCGUUAACUGAAUACAUAGGUUAACGAGGCGAACCGGGGGAACUGAAACAUCUAAGUACCCCGAGGAAAAGAAAUCAACCGAGAUUCCCCCAGUAGCGGCGAGCGAACGGGGAGCAGCCCAGAGUCUGAAUCAGCUUGUGUGUUAGUGGAACGGUCUGGAAAGUCCGACGGUACAGGGUGAUAGUCCCGUACACCAAAAUGCACAGGUUGUGAACUCGAAGAGUAGGGCGGGACACGUGGUAUCCUGUCUGAAUAUGGGGGGACCAUCCUCCAAGGCUAAAUACUCCUGACUGACCGAUAGUGAACCAGUACCGUGAGGGAAAGGCGAAAAGAACCCCGGCGAGGGGAGUGAAAAAGAACCUGAAACCGUGUACGUACAAGCAGUGGGAGCACCUUCGGGUGUGACUGCGUACCUUUUGUAUAAUGGGUCAGCGACUUAUAUUCUGUAGCAAGGUUAACCGUAUAGGGGAGCCGCAGGGAAACCGAGUCUUAACUGGGCGUUAAGUUGCAGGGUAUAGACCCGAAACCCGGUGAUCUAGCCAUGGGCAGGUUGAAGGUUGGGUAACACUAACUGGAGGACCGAACCGACUAAUGUUGAAAAAUUAGCGGAUGACUUGUGGCUGGGGGUGAAAGGCCAAUCAAACCGGGAGAUAGCUGGUUCUCCCCGAAAGCUAUUUAGGUAGCGCCUCGUGAACUCAUCUUCGGGGGUAGAGCACUGUUUCGGCUAGGGGGUCAUCCCGACUUACCAACCCGAUGCAAACUACGAAUACCGAAGAAUGUUAUCACGGGAGACACACGGCGGGUGCUAACGUCCGUCGUGAAGAGGGAAACAACCCAGACCGCCAGCUAAGGUCCCAAAGUCAUGGUUAAGUGGGAAACGAUGUGGGAAGGCACAGACAGCCAGGAUGUUGGCUUAGAAGCAGCCAUCAUUUAAAGAAAGCGUAAUAGCUCACUGGUCGAGUCGGCCUGCGCGGAAGAUGUAACGGGGCUAAACCAUGCACCGAAGCUGCGGCAGCGACACUAUGUGUUGUUGGGUAGGGGAGCGUUCUGUAAGCCUGCGAAGGUGACCUGUGAGGGGUGCUGGAGGUAUCAGAAGUGCGAAUGCUGACAUAAGUAACGAUAAAGCGGGUGAAAAGCCCGCUCGCCGGAAGACCAAGGGUUCCUGUCCAACGUUAAUCGGGGCAGGGUGAGUCGACCCCUAAGGCGAGGCCGAAAGGCGUAGUCGAUGGGAAACAGGUUAAUAUUCCUGUACUUGGUGUUACUGCGAAGGGGGGACGGAGAAGGCUAUGUUAGCCGGGCGACGGUUGUCCCGGUUUAAGCAUGUAGGCUGGUUGUCCAGGCAAAUCCGGAUAAUCAAGGCUGAGGUGUGAUGACGAGGCACUACGGUGCUGAAGUAACAAAUGCCCUGCUUCCAGGAAAAGCCUCUAAGCAUCAGGUAACAUCAAAUCGUACCCCAAACCGACACAGGUGGUCAGGUAGAGAAUACCAAGGCGCUUGAGAGAACUCGGGUGAAGGAACUAGGCAAAAUGGUGCCGUAACUUCGGGAGAAGGCACGCUGGUGUGUAGGUGAAGUCCCUGCGGAUGGAGCUGAGACCAGUCGAAGAUACCAGCUGGCUGCAACUGUUUAUUAAAAACACAGCACUGUGCAAACACGAAAGUGGACGUAUACGGUGUGACGCCUGCCCGGUGCCGGAAGGUUAAUUGAUGGGGUUAUCCGUAAGGAGAAGCUCUUGAUCGAAGCCCCGGUAAACGGCGGCCGUAACUAUAACGGUCCUAAGGUAGCGAAAUUCCUUGUCGGGUAAGUUCCGACCUGCACGAAUGGCGUAAUGAUGGCCAGGCUGUCUCCACCCGAGACUCAGUGAAAUUGAACUCGCUGUGAAGAUGCAGUGUACCCGCGGCAAGACGGAAAGACCCCGUGAACCUUUACUAUAGCUUGACACUGAACAUUGAGCCUUGAUGUGUAGGAUAGGUGGGAGGCUUUGAAGCGUGGACGCCAGUCUGCGUGGAGCCAACCUUGAAAUACCACCCUUUAAUGUUUGAUGUUCUAACGUUGGCCCCUGACCGGGGUUGCGGACAGUGUCUGGUGGGUAGUUUGACUGGGGCGGUCUCCUCCCAAAGCGUAACGGAGGAGCACGAAGGUUAGCUAAUCCUGGUCGGACAUCAGGAGGUUAGUGCAAUGGCAUAAGCUAGCUUGACUGCGAGCGUGACGGCGCGAGCAGGUGCGAAAGCAGGUCAUAGUGAUCCGGUGGUUCUGAAUGGAAGGGCCAUCGCUCAACGGAUAAAAGGUACUCCGGGGAUAACAGGCUGAUACCGCCCAAGAGUUCAUAUCGACGGCGGUGUUUGGCACCUCGAUGUCGGCUCAUCACAUCCUGGGGCUGAAGUAGGUCCCAAGGGUAUGGCUGUUCGCCAUUUAAAGUGGUACGCGAGCUGGGUUUAGAACGUCGUGAGACAGUUCGGUCCCUAUCUGCCGUGGGCGCUGGAGAAUUGAGGGGGGCUGCUCCUAGUACGAGAGGACCGGAGUGGACGCAUCACUGGUGUUCGGGUUGUCAUGCCAAUGGCACUGCCCGGUAGCUAAAUGCGGAAGAGAUAAGUGCUGAAAGCAUCUAAGCACGAAACUUGCCCCGAGAUGAGUUCUCCCUGAGACUUUAAGUCUCCUGAAGGAACGUU
This 2825-nucleotide ribosomal RNA is filed under the name Klebsiella pneumoniae. Its description in RNAcentral is "partial 23S ribosomal RNA". It matches the Rfam family "Bacterial large subunit ribosomal RNA". Lineage: Bacteria; Pseudomonadati; Pseudomonadota; Gammaproteobacteria; Enterobacterales; Enterobacteriaceae. The record is from RNAcentral.